Non-coding RNA from Corylus avellana, 2919 nucleotides. The record is from RefSeq and is a predicted model, not a curated record. NCBI's taxonomy places the organism in Eukaryota, Viridiplantae, Streptophyta, Magnoliopsida, Fagales, Betulaceae.
CCUUUUUUCGUGAAGCCCUCUCCAUUUACGCUCUCUACAACUCCUUUUCCUUAACUCUUCUUCCCUGGCUUGCUUUCAUCCUCAUAACUUUUCCCAGUAGUACUUCUUAAAAGUAAUAUUUUUUAGGGUAUCACUUGAUCGAAUCCCUUCUCUUGAACCUUUCGUCAGCUCGGAUAAUCCAGUUCUUGGAUACUUGAAUUUCCUUCUCCCUUUAAUCGAACCUAAGGUUGAUCACCUUCGAUUAAGUGUUUCCCAUCUAUUGAUUCGAGGUGGUUACCCAUGCGUUCCUCGGCUACUUAUCCCCAGCGUUUUGUACAACAUGGGUCGGAACGAUAACGGGUCAGACUUUGACGGUAUGGGCGAAUCAUACUUGGCCCGCUGGCGGUCAACUUUCUCGUCCGUUGACGAAGGUCGUGCCAGGGGAAACUACUUCAUCCCCUUGUCAGUGGACCUUCGGUUUGACGAAGCUGAGGAUGAAGCGAUUGUCCGAGCCAAGGAACAUGAGGUCUGCCUCUAUGAGGUAAUGUUCAAGACUGGGCUCUGAUUGCCUUUCCCGAGGGUCGUUCGGGAGUUGUUGAGUUACCUGAAUCUGGCGCCUCACCAGAUAAUUCUGAACGGUUGGAGAUGAUCCUUCUGACCAUUCGGGAAUUUCUUACUGUUUACUGACUUGCCAAGAACCCAUACUCUGACAUUGUUUUCACCUUUCAACUUCGGGAGAAAGUGAAGAUGAUCCACUUGGGCGCCACUUUCUCGAACAAUAAGAAGUGGAAGAAUAAUUUCUUCUUUGCUUUGGGAGAUUGGGAGUUCUAUACUUCCGAGGCCGUGAGAAGUCCGAGUGUUCCUCAGGAAACUAGUAUACCUUCUGUCGAAGAGCAAAAACAUCCAACUUGACCGACGAGGAGGAAGACCGAGUAUAGAGGAUCUUGGCCUUUGCUCGAACGAAGAAGAAUGAUAGUCAACUAGAUUUUGACUUCUUGGCCACUGACUCUAAGUUGGAGAAGUAUUUGGGGUACCCUUCAUUGUUUGACCAGGAAAGGCCACUCAGGUGCAGAAGAGAACUGACACCGUGGCUACAACGAAGGCAGCUGCUAAGCCUUUGAAAAGAACCACUGCUGAGAAGGGCAAAGGCAAAGCUACCAAUGCUCCCCUACGAGCUUCCGUGCAGGCUUUGAACUUGGAGCCUGCUGUAUCCAAGUUGAAUUUAGGCCCUCCCGGGGAGAUUGAAAAGCUCGAGAAGCAUAAGGAACGAGUUGCUGAAGAACUCAAGGAGCCCUUCCUCAAGAGGAAGGAGUCCGGGAUCGCUCGGACAAUCUGAAGCCAACCGACCCCUGAAGCAUCUUUGCCCAAGUUAUGGGGGAAUCAAUGGAGUCUUUCCCUGUUCCAAAGCAUUGGACAGUCGAGCACUUUGAAACUACUUACGGGAUUUAGCCGAUUCCCAACAAGCCGUAGAAGGUUCAGUUGAUUACUACUCGGCCGAUUACCACGGUCCCUGGUGAACCAAUGACUCCCUCUUCUUCUGAUUCAAAGGAGGAUUCUCAAAUGGAUGUGGAGCUCAUCCUUGAGCAGGUUUCUGCUCAAAGUGCUAGGAGCCCUAGGGUAGUCCCUGUUCAGCCGAUUGUAAUCGGUAGCGAUGCUGGUGACACCCAAACUCCGGAGGAAAAGACUUCUAAAUUCGAAAAUCUCUCGUAUGUCCAAGAACAAACUGCCCCGGAGGAUCCUUCACCAAAUGUUCCGGAGGUUAAUGAGGUCAUUUUUUUGAAGGUUCCCCGGUCUUCACCUUCUCGCACCAACACCAAGCCUACCUCUGGUUUGCACUGAGAGGUUGAGAAUGCUGACGAGGCUCCUCGUUAGACCGAGGCGAGUACCUCCCAAGAAACAUGUCGAUCUAGCCAAGCUUACCGAUUGAACCUCCUUAACCAACGGGCACCUCAGCUGGUAGAGGGUUUCCUACGAGCUGGUCAAUUGGUGUGCCCAUUUCUGAGUUGGGCAAGGGACUUCUAGGGAACCCAUUGAAUGCUCUGAUCGACCUCGUUCCUUGAGGUUAGUCUGUGGGUGUCGGUAGAAGGAGUCCUGAAAGAGUGGUGGACCUUAUGUUAUUCUACCAGUUGGUGAAUGUUAAGAAAUCAGUCUGCAUCUAUUGCGACUUUAGGGACCAUCUCUUGGGCAGUGCUUCUGAGACAGAGGAGGUAAAAAGAAAACUUUAGGAGUCCGAGGCUGAGAAUGCUCGGUUAAGGGGACUCAUGGCCAAGCAAGAACAAGAGUUGCUUCUCUUAGGACAGAGGCAGUCGUUAUUGUAGUCCAAGGCCACCAAGGAUAGUUCUCGGAUUCGGUGCCUUGAGGCCGAGGCGGAGGCCCUCAGAAAAAAUUAAGAAGACCUUUAGGUGGAUCACUCGGUCAUUCGGGGGGAGCUUAGGCAGCUUGAAGAGAGUUUUACUGAAGUUGAGCUAGAGCAUGAGGAUUCUCAGGCUAGUGAGGCUUUAAAAGGUGCAGGGUGAAGCCUUGGCUCAAUCCUUGAAGGCCGAGGAAUCCGCUACGAAAUAGAAGGUUGAUGUGGCUAAGGCAUCCGAGGCCAAGAAAAGUUUACGCAUAUGAAGAGAAAGUUCAACCAUUAUAAGACCAAGGCCCAGACCUACUUCAGACAACUUUCCAAUGCUGCUUGGAUCCAAGACUACGCCUAGGCCCUAGGAUUCGUUUGGGGCUUCGAGACUUUUCGGAACUUGGCUUUGAAUCAUUCGACUCACAUCAACAUCAUAAGAUUUCUCCUACUACUUUUCCUGUUGAAGGUGAAGCAAUAGAAGAAGUCACCCGUUUGGGUCAGAGAGAGAUGCUUGAUGCUCGGGGUAUCUCUGAGUUUGGUUCUAGACCAAGGGCCGAUGAAUCCUCGGCAAACAAUGUAACCUUGGGAAUGUUGUGCUAAAU